GAUGAACGCUAGCGGCAGGCUUAAUACAUGCAAGUCGAACGGUAAGUUUGGUAGCAAUAUCAAACCAAGAGUGACGUACGGGUGCGUAACACGUAUGCAACCUACCUUGUACAGGAGUAUAGCUCGGGGAAACUCGAAUUAACCCUCCAUGAGAUCAUAGAAUGGCAUCAUUUAGUGAUUAAAACUCAGGUGGUACAAGAUGGGCAUGCGUCUGAUUAGAGUUGGCGGGGUAAUGGCCCACCAAGACGAUGAUCAGUAGGGGACCUGAGAGGGUGACU
This 278-nucleotide ribosomal RNA is filed under the name uncultured bacterium. RNAcentral describes it as "partial 16S ribosomal RNA". It matches the Rfam family "Bacterial small subunit ribosomal RNA", at positions 28 to 305 of the family's 1533-position model. The record is from RNAcentral.